AAUUGUGGGCUCGUAUGAAAGGACAAACGAAAGCUAUACUGUCUCCUAGUAAAAAAUUGAAAUUGUCAUUCAGGUGAAGAGACCUGACUUCUUUCAAAGGACAAGAAGACCCCGUAGAGCUUAAUAUUACAACCAUUUAUAAAAAUAAAUAAAUAUACAUUAUCUCUAUACAUGCUACAAUAUUUAGCUGGGGCGGCUAAGGAAAAUAAAUCUUCCAUUUAACUUAUAUAUUCAGCAUUACAUGCCUAACUAAUAAUUGACCCUUUUUAAGAUCAGAGAAUAUAGCUACCUCGGGGAUAACAGAUUAAUCCUUCUUGAGAGUUCACAUUGACAGAAGGGAUUGACACCUCGAUGUUGGCUUAGGGUACCCAAUAGAUCUGCAGCAGUCUAUAAAGGUAG
RNAcentral lists this ribosomal RNA (399 nucleotides) under Melinna sp. h LG-2022. RNAcentral's name for it is "partial large subunit ribosomal RNA". It matches the Rfam family "Bacterial large subunit ribosomal RNA", at positions 1978 to 2574 of the family's 2925-position model. Lineage: Eukaryota; Metazoa; Annelida; Polychaeta; Terebellida; Melinnidae. The record is from RNAcentral.